UAACGCAGAAGACAGCUGACCCUUAGCCAAAUGAAGAAUUAAACUAAUGAUCUUUCAAAUGAACAACCUCCCUUUGGGGCAUUUUAUCAAACGGCUUAUGAGCAAGUUAAGCUGACAGAACGACGUCGUGUGAAGGGCAAAAACAUAUUAAAUGUUAAAUGUUUCCAUAUCUUAAACCCCAGAACAAAAAACAAGAAGAGAAGCAAGCAAUCUCAGGGAAAAAUGCAAAUGCAAGCCCUAAUGAUACCAAUACGACCUCGUUUUACUGAACUCUUAACUCGUCAAUGGCUCAAACCUUUAAGCCUCCGUGCAUACUCAUCGUCAUCGGAAUACUCCAACCAAUCACGUGGUGGCCUCCCUCGCUUCUUCUGCGAAAUUCUUCCUUCUUCAAAAGGUGGUAUUGUUCGUGUACAAGGUGAUGAAUUCUGGCACAUUGUUAAAGUUUUAAGAUUAUCCAUCAGCGACAGGAUAGAGCUUUUCAAUGGGAAAGGAGCUCUAGUAGAAGGGUGCAUUGAGAGAAUUGACCGUACUGGACUUGAUUUUGUGGCAGUCAAUGAUCCAAAGAUAGUUCUUCCCCAGACAAUAAAGUGGCAUGUAUUUGCAGCAUUCGGUAGUUUAAAAGGUGGUCGAGCUGAUUGGCUUGUUGAGAAAUGCACUGAGUUGGGGGCUCAUAGUGUGACCCCUCUGCUAACAGAACGCUCCCCAUCAAUCUCAGAUAAUCGAGUGGACAGGUUGGAACGUGUCAUUUUAGCAGCAACGAAACAAUGUCAGCGGCUGCAUGAAAUGGUUCUAAAUCCUCCUACAAAAGUUGAAGGCCUUCUGCCUCUUAUUGCCGAUUCAAAGCUAUCUUUUCUGGCAGCUGCAGAAGCUACUCCGGUUGUUAAUGUACUGGCUUCAUCUAGAAAAGAGUCAAGUGGAUUGAUAAUCGUGGGACCAGAAGGGGGUCAGUAUUCAUGUCUAUUUCACGGAGAGAGAGGCUGCCUUGAUGAUGGAAGCAGGUGCCACAGCUGUUGGUCUUGGACCACUUCGCCUUCGUGUUGAAACUGCAACAAUGGCACUUUUGGGAACUCUAAUGUUGUGGUCUGAUGCUCAGCAAUUCUCUUCUGCCUAGUUACAUUUGCAAGUAAGAUGGGUCUAACAUUUUGGAUUUCCUGCUUUGCUACUCCUACAAUCUGUCAGAUUCAGAUGUACCUUUAGAAAAUGGCUUAUUAAGACUAGAAGAUGUUAUCUUGCUUUAUUAUGGGAUACAUGUAAAGGAUGCCAACUCAAGACAGGAAGGAAUUACAAUAGUUACCUUUUCUUCUCAACAUCAGUUUUUGUUCUGUUAACAUAUCAUCUAUUGGAGAGACUGCUACUUUUUUAAUUUUCACUUUUUUUAUUAUUAUUGACCAUCUAAAAGUAGUUGUAAGAUUCCUAUUCCCAUUUGUUUCCAUGGUUUGAAAUGCUCGUUGAUGGAAUGUGAACAUUUUCAGUAAGCCCAAUGUAUAACUGGCCAAGUGAAUUACUAGACAAAUAAUGUUCAGACAAAAGUUAGUAUUUGAUUGCUGCUCUCUGUUGUGACACCAUGAGAUUACAACUUGGCCAUAUUGACUAAUAUGAGCUACUUCUUUUAAGACAUAAAUGGACAUGUUUUAGUUUUAUAUUCAUCAAUGAAGCCUAUUGGAUGAAAGAUUUUAGUUCUUUUACAACAUUGAAGUAUUGUAAUAUGGUUUUAGAAAACUUCUCUUGGAGCUAGAGUAGCUUGGGUAGAUUUGGUUUAAGACUAGCAUCACGCAUUGAACUUGGUUUAGAUAAUCCUACCUGUGCCAAUAGCAGUUGGAUAGCUUGAAAGUUAACCAGACUCAUCACCCUCCAUUGAAAAUUCUCUUAUUUAGUUAAGAAAAAGAGAAGAAAGAAAUCUUGAGUUAUGCCUCGAUAAUUUUUUUAAGAGAAAAAGAAGGGAAGAAAGAAAUCCUGAGUUAUGCCUCGAUGAUUUUAUUCUUGAAAGAAGAAAGAAACGUUGAAGAGUCAGAACAUGAGGUGUAUUGCAUCUCAAACUUUGCAGCAUAAAUUUCAUUUUUAUUAGCAAUGUGUAAUUAUACUUUGGAUGAAAUAAGUUCUUCAGCCGUUCAAAGGUCAACUUUUGACAAAUCUAUACCUAAAUUACUCAGCUUCUGGCUGAGGCAAGAAAAAUGAAAUUGUGGGAAAAAGAAAAGUCAACUAAUUACAUCAAAGUUUAUGUUUCCAAUUGCUUAGUCGUUAUGUAGUGAUGGUUGCUUGUGAUUAAAGAGGCAUUGAAUGCUGGCUAGACGAUGUAGUACACUACGUACUAGGUCUAGUACAGUACAGGCUGGCUGGGAUUGCAAAAUAAUAAGAUUAGGACUUUGGCUUGAAAAUUGCAGCAAAGUCUUGUUACCUAUGAUGCAUCUAACGCAACCCAUCAUUUACCCUGUUUUACAUGAAUGACAAUGACGCAACUCUCCAAUCAGGUUGAUGCAAGCUACAAUCUUUAGGCUCCACUAAGGUCAAUGUUCAACUUCCUAGAGUCUGAACACACAAUAAUUGUAUGCUUUUCAUCCACUUUGAACUCAAUCUCAUUGAUCAUAAUUUAUUCAAAGCCAUUAAUGUAGUUUUAUUUUCUAGUUUUUCUUGAGUAAUGCUACACAAUUCACCAUUAUAUAUUUCAACUCUUACUUG
RNA transcript from Ricinus communis (castor bean), 2676 nucleotides. It is a transcript of the gene named ribosomal RNA small subunit methyltransferase E, with no coding region annotated. The transcript is spliced from 9 exons. The record is from RefSeq and is a predicted model, not a curated record. Lineage: Eukaryota; Viridiplantae; Streptophyta; Magnoliopsida; Malpighiales; Euphorbiaceae.